GACGAACGCUGGCGGCGUGCUUAACACAUGCAAGUCGAACGGAAAGGCCCUGCUUUUGUGGGGUGCUCGAGUGGCGAACGGGUGAGUAACACGUGAGUAACCUGCCCUUGACUUUGGGAUAACUUCAGGAAACUGGGGCUAAUACCGGAUAGGAGCUCCUGCUGCAUGGUGGGGGUUGGAAAGUUUCGGCGGUUGGGGAUGGACUCGCGGCUUAUCAGCUUGUUGGUGGGGUAGUGGCUUACCAAGGCUUUGACGGGUAGCCGGCCUGAGAGGGUGACCGGCCACAUUGGGACUGAGAUACGGCCCAGACUCCUACGGGAGGCAGCAGUGGGGAAUAUUGCACAAUGGGCGGAAGCCUGAUGCAGCAACGCCGCGUGCGGGAUGACGGCCUUCGGGUUGUAAACCGCUUUCGCCUGUGACGAAGCGUGAGUGACGGUAAUGGGUAAAGAGGCACCGGCUAACUACGUGCCAGCAGCCGCGGUGAUACGUAGGGUGCGAGCGUUGUCCGGAUUUAUUGGGCGUAAAGGGCUCGUAGGUGGUUGAUCGCGUCGGAAGUGUAAUCUUGGGGCUUAACCCUGAGCGUGCUUUCGAUACGGGUUGACUUGAGGAAGGUAGGGGAGAAUGGAAUUCCUGGUGGAGCGGUGGAAUGCGCAGAUAUCAGGAGGAACACCAGUGGCGAAGGCGGUUCUCUGGGCCUUUCCUGACGCUGAGGAGCGAAAGCGUGGGGAGCGAACAGGCCUAGAUACCCUGGUAGUCCACGCUGUAAACGGUGGGUACUAGGUGUGGGGUCCAUUCCACGGGUUCCGUGCCGUAGCUAACGCUUUAAGUACCCCGCCUGGGGAGUACGGCCGCAAGGCUAAAACUCAAAGGAAUUGACGGGGCCCCGCACAAGCGGCGGAGCAUGCGGAUUAAUUCGAUGCAACGCGUAGAACCUUACCUGGGUUUGACAUGGAUCGGGAGCGCUCAGAGAUGGGUGUGCCUCUUUUGGGGUCGGUUCACAGGUGGUGCAUGGCUGUCGUCAGCUCGUGUCGUGAGAUGUUGGGUUAAGUCCCGCAACGAGCGCAACCCUUGUUCACUGUUGCCAGCACGUUAUGGUGGGGACUCAGUGGAGACCGCCGGGGUCAACUCGGAGGAAGGUGGGGAUGACGUCAAGUCAUCAUGCCCCUUAUGUCCAGGGCUUCACGCAUGCUACAAUGGCUGGUACAGAGAGUGGCGAGCCUGUGAGGGUGAGCGAAUCUCGGAAAGCCGGUCUCAGUUCGGAUUGGGGUCUGCAACUCGACCUCAUGAAGUCGGAGUCGCUAGUAAUCGCAGAUCAGCAACGCUGCGGUGAAUACGUUCCCGGG
Molecule: ribosomal RNA, 1343 nt
Filed under: uncultured bacterium
Lineage: Bacteria
Description: 16S ribosomal RNA
Rfam family: Bacterial small subunit ribosomal RNA
Source: RNAcentral